This 724-nucleotide ribosomal RNA is filed under the name uncultured bacterium. Its description in RNAcentral is "bacterial SSU rRNA". It matches the Rfam family "Bacterial small subunit ribosomal RNA", at positions 29 to 770 of the family's 1533-position model. The record is from RNAcentral.
ACGAACGCUGGCGGCGUGCUUAACACAUGCAAGUCGAACGAAAAGACGGAAAGAGCUUGCUCUUUCCGGAAUUGAGUGGCAAACGGGUGAGUAACACGUAAACAACCUGCCUUCGGGAUGGGGACAACAGACGGAAACGACUGCUAAUACCGCAUACGAUUGAAAGAUCAAAGCAGCAAUGCGCUAGGAGAUGGGCUCGCGGCCUAUUAGUUAGUUGGUGAGGUAACGGCUCACCAAGGCGAUGACGGGUAGCCGGUCUGAGAGGAUGUCCGGCCACACUGGAACUGAGACACGGUCCAGACACCUACGGGUGGCAGCAGUCGAGAAUCAUUCACAAUGGGGGCAACCCUGAUGGUGCGACGCCGCGUGGGGGAAUGAAGGUCUUCGGAUUGUAAACCCCUGUCAUGUGGGAGCAAAUUAAAAAGAUAGUACCACAAGAGGAAGAGACGGCUAACUCUGUGCCAGCAGCCGCGGUAAUACAGAGGUCUCAAGCGUUGUUCGGAAUCACUGGGCGUAAAGCGUGCGUAGGCUGUUUCGUAAGUCGUGUGUGAAAGGCAGGGGCUCAACCCCUGGAUUGCACAUGAUACUGCGAGACUAGAGUAAUGGAGGGGGAACCGGAAUUCUCGGUGUAGCAGUGAAAUGCGUAGAUAUCGAGAGGAACACUCGUGGCGAAAGCGGGUUCCUGGACAUUAACUGACGCUGAGGCACGAAGGCCAGGGGAGCG